This is a long non-coding RNA of Sorghum bicolor (sorghum), 542 nucleotides long. RefSeq lists it as uncharacterized. The record is from RefSeq and is a predicted model, not a curated record. The transcript has 2 exons. NCBI's taxonomy places the organism in Eukaryota, Viridiplantae, Streptophyta, Magnoliopsida, Poales, Poaceae.
CGCAGUCAUUAAAACUGGUGUUCCUUCUCCGAGUUACAAUUUCAAGCACUAGCACACCAAAGCUGAAAAUGUCGAUUUUUGGUGAUACACUUCCGUGUAUUGCGUACUCUGGAGCCAUGUAACCACUGCAGGCACCAACCGUAGCUGUUUUGGUCUGCGUAUGGUCUCCCAGCAGCCUUGCUAGUCCGAAGUCUGAAAUCUUUGGAUCCGCGUUCUCAUCAAGCAGGAUGUUGUUGGCUUUCAGGUCUCGAUGAAUGAUCCUAAUUCUUGAAUCCUCAUGAAGGUACAUUAUUCCCUUGGCAAUGCCAACAAUGAUGUUGUACUGCUGAUCCCAACUUAGCUUAUUUCCCGUUUCAGUGUCUUCUGGACGAAAUGAUAAGUUAUGUUAGACGGUUUUGCAAGGCAGAACUAGAUGAGGUAGCAUGCCUACUUUUUAUCUGCUAGCCUUACAUAUGGACCAGAGGUAAUUUGUUUGCAGGAAGUGCAACAGUGAAUAAGUCUAUCACUGAACAUGAUGCCCCUAACGUGAAUGAUUUAUACUA